AAACGAUUGAAGUCAGUCGUGUUCAUUGGACUCAGCCGGUUUUCGGUGUAUUUCCUUUGAACGGGUCAACAUCAGUUUUGUCCGGUGGAUAAAGGCAGGAAGAAAGUGGCUCCCUCGGGAGUGUUAUAGCUUUCUGUCACAUACACUGGAGGAGACUGAGGACUGCAGCUCGCCUUUUGGCCGGGGUUCGCCCACGUUCGAGCUUAGGAUGUUGACAUAAUGGCUUUAAACGA
RNAcentral lists this ribosomal RNA (233 nucleotides) under Vanrija humicola. Its description in RNAcentral is "partial large subunit ribosomal RNA". The record is from RNAcentral. Lineage: Eukaryota; Fungi; Basidiomycota; Tremellomycetes; Trichosporonales; Trichosporonaceae.